CGCUGGAGAACUGAGGGGGGCUGCUCCUAGUACGAGAGGACCGGAGUGGACGCAUCACUGGUGUUCGGGUUGUCAUGCCAAUGGCACUGCCCGGUAGCUAAAUGCGGAAGAGAUAAGUGCUGAAAGCAUCUAAGUACGAAACUUGCCCCGAGAUGAGUUCUCCCUGAGACUUUAGGUCUCCUGAAGGAACGUUGAAGACGACGACGUUGAUAGGCCGGGUGUGUAAGCGCAGCGAUGCGUUGAGCUAACCGGUACUAAUGAACCGUGAGGCUUAACCUU
This 279-nucleotide ribosomal RNA is filed under the name Salmonella enterica subsp. enterica serovar Weltevreden. Its description in RNAcentral is "partial 23S ribosomal RNA". It matches the Rfam family "Bacterial large subunit ribosomal RNA", at positions 2652 to 2925 of the family's 2925-position model. The record is from RNAcentral. Lineage: Bacteria; Pseudomonadati; Pseudomonadota; Gammaproteobacteria; Enterobacterales; Enterobacteriaceae.